AGCACGUUACUGCUCUUCAGCUACUCGAUAGAAAGCAUUACUGCAGAGACUUGCAACGCCUCUAAAUGCCAAGAAGCAUAAAACAGAUAUGUUACCAGCAGAAGUGAGUGACAAAAAGGAGGUGGUUACACUGAAAUGGCCAACAUCGAUACUGAGGAAGAAAUCCAAAUUGACAAGAUAUGAAGAAUAUGUUGCUCACAGAACAAGAUCAGAAAGACGGGUCCGCUUUCGAGAAUCAGAUGAGAUAAUUUUUCACACAGCGACCGAAUAUGGCUCCCCAUUGCCGACGAUGUUUUGGAAAUUAUUGCUUGUCAUUUCGCUAAGUCUGGUGAUCAUAUUGCUGCAUUAUAACGAGAGAGCGUCAAACAUGUAUGAACAACUUCAUUCAAAACUCAUCAGUUAUUACCUGGAAAUGAAGCACAAAACUUUCAACUGGUUGAAUCGGAGUAGAAGACAUUAGGACAUCCACAGAUGCCAACAGCUUCAGACAAUCUCAAUUUAGCAAAAAACACUCAAGCAAAUGCGAAAACUUUUUGCCUUAAACUUUAUUAAAUGGAAAGUCAUUGAAGAAAUGAACUGAAAAAGGAUAGAACUGUGAGAGUUUGCCUAUCAACUGAAAUCUAUAGAACUAUUGUUAUAAUGUUUUGUUAUCAAUCAUUUUACAACUCAAAUGAUGAAUUAUUUCACACUGAUGUUUCUAUAUAAUGCAACUCGCAUGAAAGAAUCAACUCAAAGUCUAGCAUGCCAUGAGAUAAAUACAAAAUGCUGAAGUAACUCAGCGGGUCAGGCAGCAUCUCUGGAGAAAACGAGUAGGUGACGUUUCAAGUUGAGACCCUUCUUCAGACUGAGGAUCCUUCUUCCAUCUCAGUCUGAAGUAGGGUCUUGACCUGAAACAUCACCUAUUCCUUUUCCCCAGAGAUGCUACCCGACUCACAGGCAUUUUGUGUCUAUCUUCGGUGUAAACCAGAAUCUGUAUUUGCUUCCUAUAGCAUGCCAUGGUUUGAGUUGGAUUGGUAUGAAAGAGUCUUCGCAUUUUCAUUCCGUACUUACGCAGAGUCCCCUAUCCCAUUCUAAAUUAAUCUUUUAUAGCUACAAAUCUAAAAAUUAUUUAUAUUCCCUUUUAUGAAAUAGAAAGGUGACUGCAUUUCCCCAUAUUGACCAUGGGACUUUCUAUCCAUCUUACGUAUUUAGAUUUAAGUAUCCUGAAAAUUCCAAAUUAGCUCAUUGCAGAAUCCUCACAUCCUGAAUGUUAGUUUAGAGAUACAACAUGGAAACAGGCCCUUCGGCCCACCAAAUCCAUGCCAACCAUCAAUCACUGUUGACACUAGUUUCAUAUUAUCCCACCUUCUCAUCCACUCCCUACACAAUAGGGAGCAAUUUACAGAAGCCAAUUACCUUUCUUGCACUAAGCUUUACUCCAUUUAUCAUGUGAAUGGCUCGAUCGUAAUCGUGUGUUGUUUUUCUGACUGGAUAGAAUGCAACAAAAGCUUUUCACUGUACCUCGGUACAUGUGAUAAUAAACUAAACCACAAACCCGCACAUGGAAGAAAAUUGGAACACCCAGAGGAAAUCCGUGCGGUCACAGGGAGAACAUGCAAACUUCACACAGACAGCACCCGAGGUCAGGAUCAAACCUGGGUCUCUGGCACUUGAGGCAGCACCACUACACCACCCUAAUGAUGCCAGCUGUGUCAAAACCAGCAACAUAACCAAUACAAAAGCCAAAAUAUUACUAAUUCUGAACAACUGAAUUUGAACCAACAAAUAUUUGAAAUAAUACCAGGAAAAGUGGCACCUGAACAGUUGAGGCCCUUUUGUCAUAAUUCAGUAACAGAAGUAAACAAUGGACAAUAGAUGCAGGAGUAGGCCAUUCGGCCCUUCAAGUCAGGACCACCAUUCAAUGUGCUCAUUCACAAUCAGUAUCCUGUUCCUGCCUUCUUCCCAUAUUCCCUGACUCCGCUAUCUUCAAGAGCCCUAUCCAGAAAGUGUCCAGAGAACCGGCCCCCACCGCCUUCUGAAGCAGAGAAUUCCACACUCGCAACUCUGUGCAAAAAAGUGUUUCCUCAUCUCCGUUCUAAAUAUCUUACCCCUUAUUCUUAAACUGUGGCCCCUGGUUCUGUACUCCCCCAACAUCGGGAACAUGUUUCCAGCCUCUAGCGUGUCCAAACCCUUAAUAAUCUUAUAUGUUUCAAUAAGAUCCCUUCUCAUCCUAAAUUCCAGAGUAUACAAGCCCAGCCGCUCCAUUCUCUCAGCAUAUGACAGCCCCGCUAUCCCGGGAAUUAACCUUGUGAACCUACGCUGCACUUCCUCAAUAGCAAGAAUGUCCUUCCUCAAAUUUGGAGACCAAAACUGUACACAAUACUCCAGGUGUGGUCUCACUAGGGCCCUGUACAACUGCAGGACCUCUUGGCUUCUAUACUCAACUCCUCUUGUUAUGGCCAACAUAUUCGCUUUCUUCACUGCCUGCAUGCUUACUUUCAUUGACUGAUGAACAAGGACCCCCAGAUCCCAUUGUACUUCUCUUUUUCCCAA
This is a long non-coding RNA of Leucoraja erinaceus (little skate), 2532 nucleotides long. RefSeq lists it as uncharacterized. The transcript is spliced from 3 exons. The record is from RefSeq and is a predicted model, not a curated record. NCBI's taxonomy places the organism in Eukaryota, Metazoa, Chordata, Chondrichthyes, Rajiformes, Rajidae.